AGUGAACGCUGGCGGUAGGCCUAACACAUGCAAGUCGAACGGCAGCACAGGAGAGCUUGCUCUCUGGGUGGCGAGUGGCGGACGGGUGAGGAAUACAUCGGAAUCUACUCUGUCGUGGGGGAUAACGUAGGGAAACUUACGCUAAUACCGCAUACGACCUACGGGUGAAAGCAGGGGACCUUCGGGCCUUGCGCGAUUGAAUGAGCCGAUGUCGGAUUAGCUAGUUGGCGGGGUAAAGGCCCACCAAGGCGACGAUCCGUAGCUGGUCUGAGAGGAUGAUCAGCCAAACUGGAACUGAGACACGGUCCAGACUCCUACGGGAGGCAGCAGUGGGGAAUAUUGGACAAUGGGCGCAAGCCUGAUCCAGCCAUACCGCGUGGGUGAAGAAGGCCUUCGGGUUGUAAAGCCCUUUUGUUGGGAAAGAAAUCCAGCUGGCUAAUACCCGGUUGGGAUGACGGUACCCAAAGAAUAAGCACCGGCUAACUUCGUGCCAGCCGCCGCCGUAA
RNAcentral lists this ribosomal RNA (506 nucleotides) under uncultured bacterium. Its description in RNAcentral is "partial 16S ribosomal RNA". It matches the Rfam family "Bacterial small subunit ribosomal RNA", at positions 29 to 523 of the family's 1533-position model. The record is from RNAcentral.